RNAcentral lists this ribosomal RNA (508 nucleotides) under uncultured bacterium. Its description in RNAcentral is "partial 16S ribosomal RNA". It matches the Rfam family "Bacterial small subunit ribosomal RNA", at positions 28 to 523 of the family's 1533-position model. The record is from RNAcentral.
GAUGAACGCUAGCUACAGGCUUAACACAUGCAAGUCGAGGGGAAACGAUAGAGAAAGCUUGCUUUUUCUAGACGUCGACCGGCGCACGGGUGAGUAACGCGCAUCCAACCUGCCCAUCACUUGGGGAUAACCUUGCGAAAGUAAGACUAAUACCCAAUGACGUCCAUAGAAGACAUCUGAAAGGGAUUAAAGAAUUAUCGGUGAUGGAUGGGGAUGCGUCUGAUUAGCUUGUUGGAGGGGUAACGGCCCACCAAGGCGACGAUCAGUAGGGGUUCUAAGAGGAAGGUCCCCCACAUUGGAACUGAGACACGGUCCAAACUCCUACGGGAGGCAGCAGUGAGGAAUAUUGGUCAAUGGUCGAUAGCCUGAACCAGCCAAGUAGCGUGCAGGAUGACGGCCCUAUGGGUUGUAAACUGCUUUUAUAAGGGAAUAAAGUGAGCCUCGUGAGGCUUUUUGCAUGUACCUUAUGAAUAAGGACCGGCUAAUUCCGUGCCAGCAGCCGCCGUAA